GUUGUGGCUCAGCAGUAGAGCGCUCAUCUAGUAUGUGAGAAGUGCUGGGUUAGAUCCUCAGCAAC
RNAcentral lists this transfer RNA (65 nucleotides) under Ictidomys tridecemlineatus (thirteen-lined ground squirrel). RNAcentral describes it as "Spermophilus tridecemlineatus (thirteen-lined ground squirrel) tRNA". It matches the Rfam family "tRNA". From Rfam's summary of the family: Transfer RNA (tRNA) molecules are approximately 80 nucleotides in length. Lineage: Eukaryota; Metazoa; Chordata; Mammalia; Rodentia; Sciuridae. The record is from Rfam by way of RNAcentral.